RNAcentral lists this long non-coding RNA (6023 nucleotides) under Sus scrofa (pig). RNAcentral's name for it is "lncRNA (ENSSSCG00035075292.1)". The record is from RNAcentral. Lineage: Eukaryota; Metazoa; Chordata; Mammalia; Artiodactyla; Suidae.
UAUUACAUUUAUAGUUGUACAACAAUCACCACAACCCAAUUUUAUAGCAUUUCCAUCCCUAAGCCCCCAGCCCUUCCCCCCAUCCCCCAACCUGUUUCAUUAGGAAACAAUGUGUUUUCCAAAGUCUGUGAGUCAGUAUCUGUUCUGCAAAGAAAUUCAUUGUGUCCUUUUUUUAGAUUCUACAUGUAAAUGAUAGCUUAGGAUGUUGGUGUCUCACUGUCUGACUUCACUUAGCAUGAUCAUUUCUAGGUACAUCCUAAUGCCACUGUUUCUUUCCUUUUAAUGGCUGAGUCAUAUUCCAUUGUGUAUAUGUACCACAUCUUCUUGAUCCACUCCUCCGUCGAUGGACAUUGAGGUUGUUUCCAUGUCUUGGCUAUUGUAUGUAGUGAUGCCAUAAACAUUGGAGUACAUGUAUCUUUUCAAGUCAUGGUUUUCUCUGGAUGGACGCCCAGGAGUGGGAUUGUUGGAUCAAAUGGUAAUUCUGUUUAGUUUUCUGAGGAAUCUCCAUACUGUUUUCCACAGUGGUUGUACCAAUUGAUAUUCCCACCAACAGUGUAAGAGGAUUCCCUUUUCUCUACACCCUCUCCACCAUUUAUUGUUUGUAGACUUUUUGAUGAUGGCCAUACUGGCUGGCAUAAGGUGGUACCUCAUAGUGGUUUUGAUUUGCAUUUCUCUAAUAAUGAGUGAUGUUGAACAUCUUUUCAUGUGUUUUUUGACCAUCUGUAUGUCUUCUUUAGAGAACUGUCUAUUUAGAUGAUCUGCCCAUUUUUUAAAUGGGGUUGUUUGUUUUUUUGGGUAUUGAGCUGCAGAAGGUGUUUUUAUAUUUUAGAGAUUAAUCCCUUUUCAGCCACUUCAUUUGCAAAUAAAUACUUUCUUCCAUUCUGUGGAUUGUCUUUUCAUUUUGUUUAGGGUUCGCUUUGCUGUGCAGAAACUUUUAAGUUUAAUUAAGUCCCAUUUAUUUAUUUUUGUUUUUAUUGUCAUUACUCUAGGAGGUGGAUCUGAGAAGACAUUGCUGUGGUUUAUAUCAGAGAGGGUUUGGUCUAUGUUUUCCUCUAAGAGAUUUAUAGUGUUUGGUCUUACAUUUAGGUCUUUAAUCCAUUUUGGGUUUAUUUUUCUGUAUGGUGUUAGGAAGUGUUAUAAUUUUAUUCUUUUACAGACGUCCAGUUUUCCCAGCCCACAAUUUUUAACAGAGGGUUCAUUCUGGAGCAUGUCCAGGGCCAUGGGAGGGACUCAGGACCCAUGAGUUUGGCCAUCUCCUUAAGGAAUGAAUGGUGUAUACCUUGGAGAAGGGAAGCCUUGGUUUCUUUAAAUAUUUGAAGUGUUUCCACUUGGGAAGGGUUAGACUUACUCUUGGUAGCUCUAGGGACCAGAGCUAGGACCAGCGAGUCAGUGGAAGUUAUAGUCAAGCACGUUGCAGCUCAUCAUAAGCAGGAACUUGCCAACACUUUCAGAGUAGCCCAAUAGAAAAGGCUGCUUCUGAAGGUGGCGAGUUCCCUGUCAGUCAUUGGAGAUGUGCAGGUUGGACAUGACUUACUGUCUUGACAGAGAAAGUGUUCCCAUACAGAAAAAAGGUUAAGCUUUCUGAAGGGAUUCUGAAUGCUGACAUUUUAUUGUUUUAUGAUCAUUUCCUCUUUUUAUCAAAAGAUGUAUUAAGGUGUGUGUGCACAUGUGUGCGUGUAUGUAUAUGCAUGUGGCAGCAGAGUGCAUGCUGGUGGGUGCUCCUUAAGAGGAAUUAUGAUUUACUUUAGGAAAAAACAGAAGUUAGUUUAUUCAUUAUUCAAGACAUGUUUUUCGAGUGCCUCCUAGAAGCCAAUUUCUGUGCCAGAUAUUGCUGAUUCAGAAUUUUGAAAGAACACAGUUCUGGUCCAGAAGGAGGUCUCAGUCUAGUGGAGGAAACUGACUAGUAAACAGAAGAUGAUAAUAGGCUAUGGUGAAUGCAAUGAGGGCAGCAGGUCCAUUGAUGAUCUGGGAUCUAUACACUCAGCCUCAUCUCAUACCCACAGUCUCAUGCUUUCCUCUCCAAAAGCACAGACCUCUCAGCAUUUCCACUCACCUCUGAUGGAAUUUCACUCCAGUGUCUUUGCUCAUUCUCUUCCUCUGCUGGGCCUCCUUAGACCACCUCAGUUAGUCAAAGGCAUACCCAUCCCAAGCAGGAAUUCAUCCCUAGCCCCUCAAAUACGCAGGCUGGGUAAGAUCUUCAGUAUGUCCUAUGGAUGUAUGGGGGCUGCAACAUUAACUGAGGAAUUAAGAAAUACGGCAGAGUUUCUCUAGACUCCAUUUGUGUUGGCCUCCUGUUUGUACACAAACAUCUCUUUCAAUGCCAACAGAGAAAACAUACCUGUGGUGGAAAUUCUGUUUGUUUUGCUGAUCAGCAAGUGACAUGCUUGUUGCAAGUAAAUAAGCAUAACAAAAGACUACAUUUUUCCUUCUUCUUUUUGCCUCUGGAGGUGUUUUUGUCAUGUUGCUAAGUUACCACCGAUGGAAGAUUCUACUUUGGGGAAUGGAAGUUAUUUUAAAAGAUCAAAUGAACAUCUUACCAGAGACCUUCCUUUGCAGUUUAGCGAGGGUCUGCAGCGGGCUGAGGAAGAUGGAUGUGUGAAGAAGGAACCCCCAAAUUCUCAGAGACAUAAGAAGCAUUUGAAUCACGAUAGAGAGGUGAAAACUGGAGUCCAUCACCAAGGAAAAGAGUCAAGUCAGGAAGUUGGAGUAUUGAACCAAUAAACUGUCCAAUACCCUUUUGAAGAUCUUUUGCCAUAGACUAGAAUAGAGACAAGGAAUGGUCCUCUUCUUCAAAGAGCAAAUGGUGAUGGGUUCCCAAUACUUUCUGGGCCUCUUGCCUCAUCUCUGCUGGAUCGGCUCCUCCUGAGGUGUUUAGGAUUCCAGGGAUUUAUUUGUUCACUUAGCAAAUAAUUAUCGAGCCGGACGGAGAUAUGGCAUAACAAGACAGAUGGGGCCAUUCCCUCAUGGGGUGCUCUUUCUGUUCCUGCUAGAAUGCUCUUGUAUUUGUCAGGACUUUCUAUCUAUGUGGGUGACAAAAACCCACAUUAAACUGGCAGAAGUGAAACAAAGAUGAAUUUGCUUUAGAAACUGUGAAGUCCAGCGGUGGAAGGUAGAGUCAGGCAUGGCUGGGUUCAGUGACUCAGAUGAUGUUAAGGAGGCUGCCUUUCUCCUCUCUGCUCAUCUUUGCUUCCUUAGUUUGUGACUUCACUCUGUCAUAGCACAGACAGGAUCCUUCCAUAUAGCCAUGGGAGAUGUUUGCUAACAGAUCCCAGGAGUCCUGGUUGCAAUUCAGAACCCCCACUUAGAAAGAGAACUUAUCUUUUUAAAUGCCCAUCUAUUAACCUUAUGAAAGGGCCCUGACUGGCUCUACUCAGACCAUGUUCUCAUCUGUGCUCCAAUCAAAGCCAGCCGUGAUUGGCCAGGCCUAUUGCUUGGAAUGGGAGGUGAGGGGUGGAGGAGCAGAUGGGUCUGUGCAAGCUAGGGAAACUGGAGAGAGAAAUGUAUUGAUUGACUAAAAACAAUUAAACUUUAUGACCCAGCUGACCUAGUCAGAAGACUUAAGAGUCCUUUAAACCCUGUGCUUGUUGAUCAGUACCUCCGGACCCAGCCUCCCCUAUUUGCUCUUUCUUUGGCCACAUGUCCGUCAGUAAAAGAGACCUGUUAGGAGAAAGGGCCUCCUGGCUUAUCAGGGAAUAAAAUUAGGACCAUUUCAUUCUUCCCCUCAGAAGUUCCAGCCUAGUUACAGUGGCUCCAUUGAUGUUUCCUUGACUCAUAAUAGGACAGAUAAAAGUUGAAAGAUGCAACUAUCAUGAGUUUGGCAAGACACAAACACAAGUGGGAUCACCUUCAAAUGAUCCAUAUUCAUUAACCUGCAGGUUUCCUUUUUCUUUUUUUUGGCCAUGCCCACAGCAAGCAGAAGUUCCCAGAAAAAAAUAGCUUUAUUGCUUUGCCAGGCAAAGGAGGUCACAGUAGGCUUAUGCUCUGUAGACUGCCCUCCCUUGGGAGAGACUAGGAAGUGCUACAGUCAAUUUAAAAAGAUACAGAAGUCCAGCAAGGAGCUCAAGAACAUGAUAAGUAUAUUUGUGAGAAUUGAGUGGUGAUAAAACAAUGCACCAAAUCGCUAUCAUCACCAUAGACUAGAACGAUAAAGAAUAUGAGGCCAGCUGAAACUGUUUUUAAGGGUUUUUUUAAAUGGCCUUCUUUGGCUGGAGUUAUGCCUGUGGUCAUUAGAAAGGUUUUCUGGACAAGGUGGAACAUAACGUGGAGUUAACAGAGAAGAUCCUGUACAAAGGGUAGAGUUUUUCCCUUGUACUGACCAUGAUUUGCUUAGCUUCCUCUCAUACAAGCUUUAUGAUAGGGUGCUACCUAUUCUUACUCUUGAUAAAUGUCACUGGGGAGACAUGAAAGAGCCCAGCCUCCUGUGCAUGAGAAAAGAACUUAAAAAGUUGGAGAUGAGAGGGGUAUUUGAAACACUUAGCCUAAAUGUAUCAGCUCCAAACAUAAAGAUUAUAAAAAGAAACUUGUGUCUUUGGGGGGCCAUUUCUGGCCUUUGAAGUUGGUAUUAACCAAAUAAUGAUUUCCUUCCAAACUUGUGGAAUGAGCGUUGCCAUAGUUACUUCCUACAAGAAUGACAAGCAAUGGCACAUGUUGCAGUUGACCAUUCAUGAAGCACCAGGCUGCCUCACCAUUCACCCAAACUGUCCUGGGUAGAUAUCCCAAUGGAAAAACUGGGCUUACAGGGCUAAUAGCCGUCUCUCAGACUUCUAAUUUUUUCCUCAAAGUUUCUACAUCCUCCAAAUCCGAUUUUCAUAUUCUCUGGGUUUUUACCAUAUUUUUCUGAAAUCGGGGUCCAGGCUGUGCUGAGAGAGCCAGCUUCCUCUAGCAUGUUCCAUAGCGUGUUCUGGUGUGUUGCAUGCAAUUGAUCAGGCAGUGAUCCAACUCUUGGCUGAAGUGCAGCACCCAGGGCUUGCUCCCCCAGUCCUGGAGGGGGGGGAAACCUCCUCCUUCUGAGUCACUGUGAGCCUCCUGCAGAUAUGCUUCCUGCCCUCUGGAAGAUGUCAGAAGAGAGUCCUGAAAUGAAGGCUUCCUUCCUCUGUUUCAGAAAGUUGACUUGUAGGUAAAUCUGAGAGAAACACCAGAGACGAGUUUGGAGAAGAGACAUCCUAGGUUUACGCCAUCUUGAAGUAGUUGUGAAUCCCAGGUCUGCCAGUAAUGGGCUAUGUCCUGGGGUAAAUAAAUGACUCUCCCGUAGUUCCUGCUGUGGCUCAGUGGGUUAAGAUCCUGAUGUACUGUGAAGAUAUGCGUUUUAUCUGCGGCCUUGCUCAGUGGGUUAAAGAUCCUGUGUGGCUGUGGCUGUGGCGUAGAUCUGCAGCUGCAGCUCUUGUUCAGCCCCUAGCCCGGGAACUUCAACAUGGUGUGGGUGUGGCCCUAAAAAGACACACACCCACACCCACCCACAUACCCACCCACUCACACAAAAGGCUUUUUCCCUCUGGGUCUUGGUUUCUUCAGGUGUAAAGUGAGAGUAAUAAUACCUACUUGACCAUCUUAUAUGAGGUAAUUAAAAUAGUUAAUGUCUAUUCAGCUUUUUUUUUGCCCCGUAGGUUGCUGUAGGGGCUUUAUUCCUGUAAUCCUUCUGUGCAGAGCGAUAUUAUUAUUAUUGUGACUAUUUUAUAGAUAAGGACACUGAGAAUCAAGACUUAAGUGACCAUGCAGCUGGUAAAAGGCAGAGCCAGCUUUCUAAUCAGGGCAGUAUCACCAUAAAAGUAGUGCUGCUAAUCACUCCCCAGUAACCCACAGCAUCUGGCACGAAGCUCCAUAAAUAAUACAGUGAGUGGUAUUGGGGGUACAUGUGAUGGAGAGAAUAGCUGGUCAUGGACAGGAAUGAGCUGUUGGGUGAGCUUUGGAAUUGGGGCAUGAGGUAGGCAGGGAGAACCCCCCCACCCCACUUUCCUACUCCAGCCAGACCCUUAGCGGCUGUGACUGGUUCAAACCCAUAAUGCCCAGUAUGAGGCCAAGGCUGC